GGUGCUUCUACUGCGAGUAACGUCAAUGUACAGUGCUAUGAACACUGAACCCUUCCUCCUCGCUGAAAGUGCUUUACAACCCUAAGGCCUUCUUCACACACGCGGCAUGGCUGCAUCAGGCUUGCGCCCAUUGUGCAAUAUUCCCCACUGCUGCCUCCCGUACGAGUAAC
Molecule: ribosomal RNA, 170 nt
Filed under: uncultured Serratia sp.
Lineage: Bacteria; Pseudomonadati; Pseudomonadota; Gammaproteobacteria; Enterobacterales; Yersiniaceae
Description: partial 16S ribosomal RNA
Source: RNAcentral